UCCAGGUGCAGUGGCUUAUGCCUGUAAUCCCAAUACUUUGGGAGGCUGAGGCAGGAGGAUUGCAUGAGUCCAAGAGUUCCGGGAUGUAGUGUGCUAGUUUGGCAUCCAUAUGGUAACUUCUUGGAGAGCGUGGGACUACCAGGUUGCCCCAGGGGGUGUGAACCGGCCCAGGUUGGAAAAUGAGCAGGUCAAAGCUGAUCAGUGGUGGGAUUGCAUCUGUGAGUAGCCACUGCCUUCCAGCCUGGGCAACAUAGCAAGGCCUUGUCUCUU
Unclassified non-coding RNA from Pongo abelii (Sumatran orangutan), 270 nucleotides. It matches the Rfam family "Metazoan signal recognition particle RNA". From Rfam's summary of the family: The signal recognition particle (SRP) is a universally conserved ribonucleoprotein. It is involved in the co-translational targeting of proteins to membranes. NCBI's taxonomy places the organism in Eukaryota, Metazoa, Chordata, Mammalia, Primates, Hominidae. The record is from Ensembl.